RNAcentral lists this ribosomal RNA (433 nucleotides) under uncultured bacterium. RNAcentral describes it as "partial 16S ribosomal RNA". It matches the Rfam family "Bacterial small subunit ribosomal RNA", at positions 29 to 507 of the family's 1533-position model. The record is from RNAcentral.
AACGAACGCUGGCGGCAUGCCUAACACAUGCAAGUCGAACGAGACCUUCGGGUCUAGUGGCGCACGGGUGCGUGACGCGUGGGAACCUGCCCUUAGGUUCGGAAUAACUCCCCGAAAGGGGUGCUAAUACCGGAUAAUGUCGUCGGACCAAAGAUUUAUCGCCUUUGGAUGGGCCCGCGUUGGAUUAGCUAGUUGGUAGGGUAAAAGCCUACCAAGGCGACGACCCAUAGCUGGUCUGAGAGGAUGAUCAGCCACACUGGGACUGAGACACGGCCCAGACUCCUACGGGAGGCAGCAGUGGGGAAUAUUGGACAAUGGGCGAAAGAGUGAUCCAGCAAUGCCGCGUGAGUGAUGAAGGCGUUAGGGUUGUAAAGCUGUUUUACCCGGGAUGAUAAUGACAGUACCGGGAGAAUAAGCUCCGGCUAACUACGUG